AUACGUAGGGGGCAAGCGUUGUCCGGAAUUAUUGGGCGUAAAGGGCGCGUAGGCGGCCCGGUAAGUCUGGAGUGAAAGUCCUGCUUUUAAGGUGGGAAUUGCUUUGGAUACUGUCGGGCUUGAGUGCAGGAGAGGUAAGUGGAAUUCCCAGUGUAGCGGUGAAAUGCGUAGAGAUUGGGAGGAACACCAGUGGCGAAGGCGACUUACUGGACUGUAACUGACGCUGAGGCGCGAAAGUGUGGGGAGCAAACAGGAUUAGAUGCCCUGGUAGUCCACACUGUAAACGAUGAAUGCUAGGUGUAGGGGGUAUCGACCCCUUCUGGGCCGCAGUUAACACAAUAAGUAUUCCACCUGGGGAGUACGGCCGCAAGGUUGAAACUCAAAUGAAUUGGCGGG
This 396-nucleotide ribosomal RNA is filed under the name uncultured bacterium. RNAcentral describes it as "partial 16S ribosomal RNA". It matches the Rfam family "Bacterial small subunit ribosomal RNA", at positions 523 to 917 of the family's 1533-position model. The record is from RNAcentral.